AAUACCCGAUGUUGUCCACAUAUGGCAUCUGACGUGGACCAAAGAUUCAUCGGUGGAGGAUGGGGAUGCGUCUGAUUAGCUUGUUGGUGCGGGUAACGGCCCACCAAGGCGACGAUCAGUAGGGGUUCUGAGAGGAAGGUCCCCCACAUUGGAACUGAGACACGGUCCAAACUCCUACGGGAGGCAGCAGUGAGGAAUAUUGGUCAAUGGACGUAAGUCUGAACCAGCCAAGUAGCGUGCAGGAUUGACGGCCCUAUGGGUUGUAAACUGCUUUUGUUGGGGAGUAAAGUGAGGCACGUGUGCCUUUUUGCAUUUACCCUUCGAAUAAGGACCGGCUAAUUCCGUGCCAGCAGCCGCGGUAAUACGGAAGGUCCAGGCGUUAUCCGGAUUUAUUGGGUUUAAAGGGAGUGUAGGCGGUCUGUUAAGCGUGUUGUGAAAUUUAGGUGCUCAACAUCUACCUUGCAGCGCGAACUGGC
Molecule: ribosomal RNA, 476 nt
Filed under: uncultured Bacteroidales bacterium
Lineage: Bacteria; Pseudomonadati; Bacteroidota; Bacteroidia; Bacteroidales
Description: bacterial SSU rRNA
Rfam family: Bacterial small subunit ribosomal RNA
Source: RNAcentral